CAGUAGCCACGGGAAUACGUAGGUGGCAAGCGUUGUCCGGAAUUAUUGGGCGUAGAGCGCGCGCAGGCGGUCAGAAAAGUCUGAAGUGAAAGGCAGUGGUUCAACCAUUGUAGGCUUUGGAAACUGUUUAACUUGAGUGCAAGAGGGGAGAGUGGAAUUCCAUGUGUAGCGGUGAAAUGCGUAGAUAUAUGGAGGAACACCGGUGGCGAAAGCGGCUCUCUGGCUUGUAACUGACGCUGAGGCUCGAAAGCGUGGGGAGCAAACAGGAUUAGAUACCCCGGUAGUCCCUGUCUCUUAUACA
This 301-nucleotide ribosomal RNA is filed under the name uncultured bacterium. RNAcentral's name for it is "partial 16S ribosomal RNA". It matches the Rfam family "Bacterial small subunit ribosomal RNA", at positions 509 to 808 of the family's 1533-position model. The record is from RNAcentral.